UGGGGAAUAUUGCACAAUGGAGGGAACUCUGAUGCAGCGACGCCGCGUGAACGAAGAAGGCUUUCGAGUCGUAAAGUUCUUUUAUAUGGGAAGAUAAUGACGGUACCAUAAGAAAAAGCCCCGGCUAACUACGUGCCAGCAGCCGCGGUAAUACGUAGGGGGCUAGCCUUGUCCGGAAUCACUGGGCGUAAAGGGUUCGCAGGCGGAAAUGCAAGUCAGGUGUAAAAGGCAGUAGCUUAACUACUGUAAGCAUUUGAAACUGCAUAUCUUGAGAGGUGUAGAGGUAAGUGGAAUUUUUAGUGUAGCGGUGAAAUGCGUAGAUAUUAAAAAGAAUACCGGUGGCGAAGGCGACUUACUGGGCUCAUUCUGACGCUGAGGAACGAAAGCGUGGGUAGCAAACAGG
This 403-nucleotide ribosomal RNA is filed under the name Verrucomicrobiota bacterium. RNAcentral describes it as "Verrucomicrobia bacterium partial 16S ribosomal RNA". It matches the Rfam family "Bacterial small subunit ribosomal RNA", at positions 355 to 776 of the family's 1533-position model. Lineage: Bacteria; Pseudomonadati; Verrucomicrobiota. The record is from RNAcentral.